RNAcentral lists this signal recognition particle RNA (300 nucleotides) under Saimiri boliviensis boliviensis (Bolivian squirrel monkey). Its description in RNAcentral is "Metazoan signal recognition particle RNA (ENSSBOG00000010747.1)". It matches the Rfam family "Metazoan signal recognition particle RNA". Rfam says of the family: The signal recognition particle (SRP) is a universally conserved ribonucleoprotein. It is involved in the co-translational targeting of proteins to membranes. Lineage: Eukaryota; Metazoa; Chordata; Mammalia; Primates; Cebidae. The record is from RNAcentral.
GUCGGGCACGGUGGCGUGUGCCUGUAGUCCCAGCUACUCGAGAUGCUGAGGUGGGAGGAUUGCUUGAGCCCAGGAGUUCUGGGCUGUAGUGCGCUAUGCCAAUCAGGUGUCCGCACUAAGUUGGGCAUCAGUAUGGUGACCUCCUGGGAGCAGGGGGACCACCAGUUUGCCUAAGGAGAGGUGAACUGGCCCAGGUAGGAGAUGGAGUAGGUCAAAACUCCCGUGCUGAUCAGUAGUGGGAUCGCGCCUGUGAACAGCCACUGCACCCCAGCCUGGGCAACAUAGUGAGACCCCGUCACU